AGAGUUUGAUCCUGGCUCAGGACGAACGCUGGCGGCGUGCUUAACACAUGCAAGUCGAACGGAAAGGCCCUGCUUUUGUGGGGUGCUCGAGUGGCGAACGGGUGAGUAACACGUGAGUAACCUGCCCUUGACUUUGGGAUAACUUCAGGAAACUGGGGCUAAUACCGGAUAGGAGCUCCUGCUGCAUGGUGGGGGUUGGAAAGUUUCGGCGGUUGGGGAUGGACUCGCGGCUUAUCAGCUUGUUGGUGGGGUAGUGGCUUACCAAGGCUUUGACGGGUAGCCGGCCUGAGAGGGUGACCGGCCACAUUGGGACUGAGAUACGGCCCAGACUCCUACGGGAGGCAGCAGUGGGGAAUAUUGCACAAUGGGCGGAAGCCUGAUGCAGCAACGCCGCGUGCGGGAUGACGGCCUUCGGGUUGUAAACCGCUUUCGCCUGUGACGAAGCGUGAGUGACGGUAAUGGGUAAAGAAGCACCGGCUAACUACGUGCCAGCAGCCGCGGUGAUACGUAGGGUGCGAGCGUUGUCCGGAUUUAUUGGGCGUAAAGGGCUCGUAGGUGGUUGAUCGCGUCGGAAGUGUAAUCUUGGGGCUUAACCCUGAGCGUGCUUUCGAUACGGGUUGACUUGAGGAAGGUAGGGGAGAAUGGAAUUCCUGGUGGAGCGGUGGAAUGCGCAGAUAUCAGGAGGAACACCAGUGGCGAAGGCGGUUCUCUGGGCCUUUCCUGACGCUGAGGAGCGAAAGCGUGGGGAGCGAACAGGCUUAGAUACCCUGGUAGUCCACGCUGUAAACGGUGGGUACUAGGUGUGGGGUCCAUUCCA
This 817-nucleotide ribosomal RNA is filed under the name Cutibacterium acnes HL074PA1. RNAcentral's name for it is "bacterial SSU rRNA". It matches the Rfam family "Bacterial small subunit ribosomal RNA", at positions 8 to 836 of the family's 1533-position model. Lineage: Bacteria; Bacillati; Actinomycetota; Actinomycetes; Propionibacteriales; Propionibacteriaceae. The record is from RNAcentral.